RNAcentral lists this transfer RNA (48 nucleotides) under Ambystoma opacum (marbled salamander). RNAcentral describes it as "partial tRNA-Ser". Lineage: Eukaryota; Metazoa; Chordata; Amphibia; Caudata; Ambystomatidae. The record is from RNAcentral.
GAGAAGAGUUGAAGAAACAAAGAAACUGCUAAUAUCUAAACCUGUGGU